This 639-nucleotide ribosomal RNA is filed under the name Triticum aestivum (bread wheat). RNAcentral's name for it is "partial small subunit ribosomal RNA". The record is from RNAcentral. Lineage: Eukaryota; Viridiplantae; Streptophyta; Magnoliopsida; Poales; Poaceae.
AUGGCGACCACGGCGGCCUCGUCGUUGCUCUCCCCGGCGGCAAAGUUCGCGCUCCUGAGCCGGUACCCAAGCGCCAAAACUGCACCACGUAGCGUCCGGUUCCCCCCGGUGCGAGCCCAGCAGGAGGUGAAAGAGGAGGAGCCCGCGGCGACCGUGCCGCCGCUGCAGGAGGAGCAGGCGACGGCGGCGGCGGCGGCGAAGGGCCCCGCGCAGUCGCUGCCGCGGCAGCCGCUGGCGGAGAGCAAGAACAUGGGGCGGGAGUACGGCAGCCAGUGGCUGAGCUGCACGACGCGGCACGUGCGCAUCUACGCCGCGUACAUCGACCCGGAGACCAACGCCUUCGACCAGACGCAGACGGACAAGCUCACGCUCAUGCUCGACCCCACCGAGGAGUUCGUCUGGACCGACGAGACAUGCCAGAUGGUCUACAACGAGUUCCAGAACCUCGUCGACCACUACGAGGGAGCUCCACUGUCAGAGUACACGCUUCGUCUCAUCGGCUCUGAUCUUGAGCACUACAUCCGCAAGCUGCUCUAUGACGGGGAGAUCAAGUACAACAUGAGGUCCAGAGUGCUCAACUUUAGCAUGGGCAAACCCCGCGUCAAAUUCAACAGCAGCCAGAUCCCAGAUGUAAAAUAG